Molecule: ribosomal RNA, 570 nt
Filed under: Escherichia coli
Lineage: Bacteria; Pseudomonadati; Pseudomonadota; Gammaproteobacteria; Enterobacterales; Enterobacteriaceae
Description: partial 23S ribosomal RNA
Rfam family: Bacterial large subunit ribosomal RNA
Source: RNAcentral
CCCGUGAUCCGGGUUGCGGACAGUGUCUGGUGGGUAGUUUGACUGGGGCGGUCUCCUCCUAAAGAGUAACGGAGGAGCACGAAGGUUGGCUAAUCCUGGUCGGACAUCAGGAGGUUAGUGCAAUGGCAUAAGCCAGCUUGACUGCGAGCGUGACGGCGCGAGCAGGUGCGAAAGCAGGUCAUAGUGAUCCGGUGGUUCUGAAUGGAAGGGCCAUCGCUCAACGGAUAAAAGGUACUCCGGGGAUAACAGGCUGAUACCGCCCAAGAGUUCAUAUCGACGGCGGUGUUUGGCACCUCGAUGUCGGCUCAUCACAUCCUGGGGCUGAAGUAGGUCCCAAGGGUAUGGCUGUUCGCCAUUUAAAGUGGUACGCGAGCUGGGUUUAGAACGUCGUGAGACAGUUCGGUCCCUAUCUGCCGUGGGCGCUGGAGAACUGAGGGGGGCUGCUCCUAGUACGAGAGGACCGGAGUGGACGCAUCACUGGUGUUCGGGUUGUCAUGCCAAUGGCACUGCCCGGUAGCUAAAUGCGGAAGAGAUAAGUGCUGAAAGCAUCUAAGCACGAAACUUGCCCCG